Molecule: ribosomal RNA, 424 nt
Filed under: uncultured prokaryote
Description: bacterial SSU rRNA
Rfam family: Bacterial small subunit ribosomal RNA
Source: RNAcentral
UGGGGAAUAUUGGACAAUGGGCGCAAGCCUGAUCCAGCCAUGCCGCGUGGAUGAAGAAGGCCUUAGGGUUGUAAAGCCCUUUCAGUCGUGACGAUGAUGACGGUAGCGACAGAAGAAGCCCCGGCUAACUCCGUGCGAGCAGCCGCGGUAAUACGGAGGGGGCAAGCGUUGUUGGGAUUUACUGGGCGUAAAGGGCGCGUAGGCGGACGGUCAAGUCAGAGGUGAAAGGCCCGGGCUCAACCUGGGACGUGCCUUUGAAACUGAUUGUCUUGAGUGCGGAAGAGGGUGACGGAAUUCCCAGUGUAGAGGUGAAAUUCGUAGAUAUUGGGAAGAACACCGGUGGCGAACGCGGUCACCUGGUCCACAACUGACGCUGAGGCGCGAAAGCGUGGGGAGCAAACAGGAUUAGAUACCCGUGUAGUCC